CCUACGGGAGGCAGCAGUGGGGAAUAUUGGGCAAUGGAGGAAACUCUGACCCAGCGACGCCGCGUGCGGGAUGAAGGCCUUCGGGUUGUAAACCGCUUUCAGCAGGGAAGAAGCGAAAGUGACGGUACCUGCAGAAGAAGCACCGGCUAACUAUGUGCCAGCAGCCGCGGUAAUACAUAGGGUGCAAGCGUUGUCCGGAAUUAUUGGGCGUAAAGAGCUCGUAGGUGGUUCGUCACGUCGGAUGUGAAAAUCUGGGGCUUAACCCCAGACCUGCAUUCGAUACGGGCGAGCUUGAGUAUGGUAGGGGAGUCUGGAAUUCCUGGUGUAGCGGUGGAAUGCGCAGAUAUCAGGAGGAACACCAAUGGCGAAGGCAGGACUCUGGGCCAUUACUGACACUGAGGAGCGAAAGCGUGGGGAGCGAACAGGAUUAGAUACCCUGGUAGUCCACGCCGUAAACGGUGGGCACUAGUUGUGGGGACCUUCCACGGUCUCUGCGACGCNGCUACGCAUAGUGCCCGCCGUCGGGAGGUACGAGCGCGAGAAGUAAACUACUAAUUAGAAGUUAGUUACGGCGUGAGACGNGCCGACGGACGACGACGAGGGAGGAGG
RNAcentral lists this ribosomal RNA (609 nucleotides) under uncultured bacterium. RNAcentral's name for it is "bacterial SSU rRNA". The stretch from base 1 to 520 matches the Rfam family "Bacterial small subunit ribosomal RNA", at positions 338 to 873 of the family's 1533-position model. The record is from RNAcentral.